GAGGAUAUAGCUCAGUGGUAGAGUGCGUGCUUAGCCUGCACGAGGUCCUGGGCUCAAUCCCCAGUAGCUUGG
Molecule: transfer RNA, 72 nt
Filed under: Camelus bactrianus (Bactrian camel)
Lineage: Eukaryota; Metazoa; Chordata; Mammalia; Artiodactyla; Camelidae
Also listed under: 2 other names
Rfam family: tRNA
About the family: Transfer RNA (tRNA) molecules are approximately 80 nucleotides in length. Their secondary structure includes four short double-helical elements and three loops (D, anti-codon, and T loops). Further hydrogen bonds mediate the characteristic L-shaped molecular structure. tRNAs have two regions of fundamental functional importance: the anti-codon, which is responsible for specific mRNA codon recognition, and the 3' end, to which the tRNAs corresponding amino acid is attached (by aminoacyl-tRNA synthetases). tRNAs cope with the degeneracy of the genetic code in two manners: having more than one tRNA (with a specific anti-codon) for a particular amino acid; and 'wobble' base-pairing, i.e. permitting non-standard base-pairing at the 3rd anti-codon position.
Source: Rfam by way of RNAcentral